AGGCAGCAGUGAGGAAUAUUGGUCAAUGGCCGAGAGGCUGAACCAGCCAAGUCGCGUGAAGGAAGAAGGAUCUAUGGUUUGUAAACUUCUUUUAUAGGGGAAUAAAGUGGAGGACGUGUCCUUUUUUGUAUGUACCCUAUGAAUAAGCAUCGGCUAACUCCGUGCCAGCAGCCGCGGUAAUACGGAGGAUGCGAGCGUUAUCCGGAUUUAUUGGGUUUAAAGGGUGCGUAGGUGGUGAUUUAAGUCAGCGGUGAAAGUUUGUGGCUCAACCAUAAAAUUGCCGUUGAAACUGGGUUACUUGAGUGUGUUUGAGGUAGGCGGAAUGCGUGGUGUAGCGGUGAAAUGCAUAGAUAUCACGCAGAACUCCGAUUGCGAAGGCAGCUUACUAAACCAUAACUGACACUGAAGCACGAAAGCGUGGGGAUCAAACAGGAUUAGAUACCCUGGUAGUCCACGCAGUAAACGAUGAUUACUAGGAGUUUGCGAUACAAUGUAAGCUCUACAGCGAAAGCGUUAAGUAAUCCACCUGGGGAGUACGCCGGCAACGGUGAAACUCAAAGGAAUUGACGGGGGCCCGCACAAGCGGAGGAACAUGUGGUUUAAUUCGAUGAUACGCGAGGAACCUUACCCGGGUUUGAACGUAGUCUGACCGGAGUGGAAACACUCCUUCUAGCAAUAGCAGAUUACGAGGUGCUGCAUGGUUGUCGUCAGCUCGUGCCGUGAGGUGUCGGCUUAAGUGCCAUAACGAGCGCAACCCUUAUCACUAGUUACUAACAGGUGAAGCUGAGGACUCUGGUGAGACUGCCAGCGUAAGCUGUGAGGAAGGUGGGGAUGACGUCAAAUCAGCACGGCCCUUACAUCCGGGGCGACACACGUGUUACAAUGGCAUGGACAAAGGGCAGCUACCUGGCGACAGGAUGCUAAUCUCCAAACCAUGUCUCAGUUCGGAUCGGAGUCUGCAACUC
This 965-nucleotide ribosomal RNA is filed under the name human gut metagenome. RNAcentral describes it as "bacterial SSU rRNA". It matches the Rfam family "Bacterial small subunit ribosomal RNA", at positions 346 to 1313 of the family's 1533-position model. The record is from RNAcentral.